RNAcentral lists this transfer RNA (76 nucleotides) under Oscillospiraceae bacterium. RNAcentral describes it as "tRNA-Pro". It matches the Rfam family "tRNA". Rfam says of the family: Transfer RNA (tRNA) molecules are approximately 80 nucleotides in length. Their secondary structure includes four short double-helical elements and three loops (D, anti-codon, and T loops). RNAcentral also lists the same sequence under 3 other names. The record is from RNAcentral. Lineage: Bacteria; Bacillati; Bacillota; Clostridia; Eubacteriales; Oscillospiraceae.
CGAGGCGUAGCGCAGAUGGUAGCGCGCUUGGUUCGGGACCAAGAGGUCGUGGGUUCGAAUCCCGUCGCCUCGACCA